GAUGAACGCUGGCGGCGUGCCUAAUACAUGCAAGUCGAGCGAACAGACGAGGAGCUUGCUCCUCUGACGUUAGCGGCGGACGGGUGAGUAACACGUGGAUAACCUACCUAUAAGACUGGGAUAACUUCGGGAAACCGGAGCUAAUACCGGAUAAUAUAUUGAACCGCAUGGUUCAAUAGUGAAAGACGGUUUUGCGGUCACUUAUAGAUGGAUCCGCGCCGCAUUAGCUAGUUGGUAAGGUAACGGCUUACCAAGGCGACGAUGCGUAGCCGACCUGAGAGGGUGAUAGGCCACACUGGAACUGAGACACGGUCCAGACUCCUACGGGAGGCAGCAGUAGGGAAUCUUACGCAAUGGGCGAAAGCCUGACGGAGCAACGCCGCGUGAGUGAUGAAGGUCUCCGGAUCGUAAAACUCUGUUAUUAGGGAAGAACAAAUGUGUAAGUAACUAUGCACGUCUUGACGGUACCUAAUCAGAAAGCCACGGCUAACUACGUG
RNAcentral lists this ribosomal RNA (497 nucleotides) under uncultured bacterium. RNAcentral describes it as "partial 16S ribosomal RNA". It matches the Rfam family "Bacterial small subunit ribosomal RNA", at positions 28 to 507 of the family's 1533-position model. The record is from RNAcentral.